UUUUAGACUUAGACUGACUUUAUUGUCAUUUUGCAUGCACAGGGUGUACACAGAACAAAAUUUCAUUGCAUACGGCUCAGGACCGUGUCUUGUGGUUCCAAUGGUGUG
Xiphophorus couchianus (Monterrey platyfish) is the source of this 108-nucleotide long non-coding RNA. RefSeq lists it as uncharacterized. The record is from RefSeq and is a predicted model, not a curated record. The transcript has 3 exons. Lineage: Eukaryota; Metazoa; Chordata; Actinopteri; Cyprinodontiformes; Poeciliidae.